RNAcentral lists this ribosomal RNA (495 nucleotides) under uncultured bacterium. RNAcentral describes it as "partial 16S ribosomal RNA". It matches the Rfam family "Bacterial small subunit ribosomal RNA", at positions 28 to 523 of the family's 1533-position model. The record is from RNAcentral.
GAUGAACGCUGGCGGCGUGCUUAACACAUGCAAGUCGAACGAAGCACCUUGAUUUGAUUCUUCGGAUGAAGAUCUUGGUGACUGAGUGGCGGACGGGUGAGUAACGCGUGGGUAACCUGCCUCAUACAGGGGGAUAACAGUUAGAAAUGACUGCUAAUACCGCAUAAGACCACAGUACCGCAUGGUACAGGGGUAAAAACUCCGGUGGUAUGAGAUGGACCCGCGUCUGAUUAGGUAGUGGGUGGGGUAACGGCCUACCAAGCCGACGAUCAGUAGCCGACCUGAGAGGGGGACCGGCCACAUUGGGACGGAGACACGGCCCAAACUCCUACGGGAGGCAGCAGUGGGGAAUAUUGCACAAUGGGGGAAACCCUGAUGCAGCGACGCCGCGUGAGCGAUGAAGUAUUUCGGUAUGUAAAGCUCUAUCAGCAGGGAAGAAAAUGACGGUAGCUGACUAAGAAGCACCGGCUAAAUACGUGCCAGCCGCCGCCGUAA